GCCUUGAGCAGCAUAGGUGAGCGGAUCCUGCUGGGCUCAUCGACCAGGCCACGUGGGGUCACUGAGGGUCAGCCUUCAGGACAGGAGGGAUUCCUCAGGGAGACAACCUGAAUCCCCACUGGUCCCUCCGUUCGGGGUCCCUGACUUCCCACAACACUGGUCUCUUGCACUGAGCUUUGCGAGCUCUUCUGCCCAGGGGGACCCCGGCCUUAAGUGGGAUAGAUGGUGACCCCAGAGGAAAACGUGCAUUGGGUGCACUGGCCCCAGGCCAGUGUCUCUCAGCCAUGUGCUCAACCCCUGGUGAGCUGAAGCUCAGGCCCUUCCUGGCAUCCUGGUCUCCUGCACUGAGCUGUGGGUUCAGUGGCUGAGAGAGCAUUGGUUGCCCUG
This 387-nucleotide non-coding RNA is filed under the name Pongo abelii (Sumatran orangutan). The record is from RNAcentral. Lineage: Eukaryota; Metazoa; Chordata; Mammalia; Primates; Hominidae.